Molecule: ribosomal RNA, 435 nt
Filed under: uncultured bacterium
Lineage: Bacteria
Description: bacterial SSU rRNA
Rfam family: Bacterial small subunit ribosomal RNA
Source: RNAcentral
AGCGAACGCUGGCGGAAUGCUUAACACAUGCAAGUCGCACGGGGGCUUCGGCCUUAGUGGCGGACGGGUGAGUAACGCGUAGGAAUGUGUCCGAGGGUGGGGGAUAACGUUGGGAAACUGACGCUAAUACCGCAUAUCCCCUGAGGGGGAAAGCAGUGAUGCGCCCACGGAGCAGCCUGCGUCCGAUUAGCUAGUUGGUUAGGUAAAGGCUGACCAAGGCGACGAUCGGUAGCUGGUCUGAGAGGAUGAUCAGCCACACUGGAACUGAGACACGGUCCAGACUCCUACGGGAGGCAGCAGUGGGGAAUAUUGGACAAUGGGCGCAAGCCUGAUCCAGCAAUUCCGCGUGGGUGAAGAAGGUCUUCGGAUUGUAAAGCCCUUUCGUUGGGGACGAUGAUGACGGUACCCAAAGAAGAAGCCCCGGCUAACUCCGUG